RNAcentral lists this ribosomal RNA (253 nucleotides) under uncultured bacterium. Its description in RNAcentral is "partial 16S ribosomal RNA". It matches the Rfam family "Bacterial small subunit ribosomal RNA", at positions 524 to 776 of the family's 1533-position model. The record is from RNAcentral.
UACGUAGGGUGCGAGCGUUAAUCGGAAUUACUGGGCGUAAAGCGUGCGCAGGCGGUGGUUUAAGGCAGGUGUGAAAUCCCCGGGCUUAACCUGGGAACUGCAUUUGUGACUGCAUCGCUGGAGUGCGGCAGAGGGGGAUGGAAUUCCGCGUGUAGCAGUGAAAUGCGUAGAUAUGCGGAGGAACACCGAUGGCGAAGGCAAUCCCCUGGGCCUGCACUGACGCUCAUGCACGAAAGCGUGGGGAGCAAACAGG